This 64-nucleotide transfer RNA is filed under the name Saldula burmanica. Its description in RNAcentral is "tRNA-Pro". The record is from RNAcentral. Lineage: Eukaryota; Metazoa; Arthropoda; Insecta; Hemiptera; Saldidae.
CAGUAAGUAGUUUAUUUUAAAAUAUUAAUUUUGGAGAUUAAAGAUGUUUAUUAAAUCUUGCUGA